UGGGGAAUCUUGCGCAAUGGGCGAAAGCCUGACGCAGCAACGCCGCGUGCGGGAUGAAGGCCCUCGGGUCGUAAACCGCUUUCAGCAGGGAUGAAAAUGACAGUACCUGCAGAAGAAGCCCCGGCUAAAUACGUGCCAGCAGCCGCGGUAAUACGUAUGGGGCAAGCGUUAUCCGGAUUUAUUGGGCGUAAAGCGCGCGUAGGCGGCUUGUUAAGUCAGGUGUGAAAUCCGGGGGCUCAACCCGCGGCUUGCACCUGAAACUGGCAGGCUUGAGUCUGGUAGAGGAAAGUGGAAUUCCUGGUGUAGCGGUGAAAUGCGCAGAUAUCAGGAGGAACACCAGUGGCGAAGGCGGCUUUCUGGGCCACGACUGACGCUGAGGCGCGAAAGCUAGGGGAGCGAACAG
This 403-nucleotide ribosomal RNA is filed under the name uncultured bacterium. Its description in RNAcentral is "bacterial SSU rRNA". It matches the Rfam family "Bacterial small subunit ribosomal RNA", at positions 355 to 775 of the family's 1533-position model. The record is from RNAcentral.